CUCUGGUUUUCUGCCCUUCUCAUCUCCCGCGAUUUGUGUUGACGAAUCGUUCUUUUCCUCCUCCUCUUUCUGUGGGCUUCGGAAAAUUGUGGGCUUCGGAAGAGUGGUCUAAGUACCAUAUCGAGGUGUGAGGUGUCAUUUUCGAGCGAUUUCUGGCAGUGCAGCCUUUAAUCGUACAGUAAGAAUUUGGGCUGUUUUAUCCUGGAGACGGCGCGGUUGCUAGUCUACCUUGCACAAUUCAGGUAGUGCCGCGAAACGUCUUAAAGAGAGCGACUUGGUCGUGACUCAUCCCGGUAAUAGUUUCAAAAGCUCCAUCGUAUAUUUUCAAAUUACAAAAACAACCAAAU
RNAcentral lists this long non-coding RNA (347 nucleotides) under Medicago truncatula (barrel medic). Its description in RNAcentral is "lncRNA gene4373". The record is from RNAcentral. Lineage: Eukaryota; Viridiplantae; Streptophyta; Magnoliopsida; Fabales; Fabaceae.